AAGAAAAUGCUUCAUUAAAAGACUGGGUCGACCCACAAGUUAAGAGUUCAUUAUAAUAGAAAGAGUUAAAGACUGGGCUAAGGCCUGUUUUGCUAAAUUAUCAGCCUCUCGAUUCUGGUUUCGAGGGAUGAAGGAGAAAGAAACGUCGGUGAAAGAAGACGAGAUCUGUUGAAUGUCCCAGAGGAUAACAAAGAUCUCGUUUGUCUGCAUGUUUCCGUUGAUAGCUCGAAUGAGCGAUUGAUUUGUCGGAGGCCAUCUUGAGGUUCAUAUGCCCAAGUGUUGCUGCCUUGAUGCGAGACGUUCUCAGCGCUAGUGCGUCUGCCAUGAGUGGGGAGUUUGCAAAAUCCACGGUUGUGUAUCCUUGUCGAGUCUCACUAGUGUCGAUUCCUGAGAAAAUCCAAGCCAAUCCAACUCUUUGAGUGUCUUGUCCCAUGAUGCGUGUGAUUUGCAGACGACCUCUGGUUCAGUCGCUUGUCCGAGUGAUCUUUCUCUGCUUAAAUCAGAUGAGAGACUUCUGUUCUCGAAGAUGAGAAGGUUACGAUCUCGCCAUAAGGGCCAGAAGAUCCAUGGGAGCACCUUGUAUACAAUACCAGAGGGAUGGAAACAGACCGAGUUCCAAAAUAAGAGCAUGAUCUUUUCAAAAUCUUCAUUCGAGUCUACAGCUAUGUGAACUGACUGAGAUAUCAGAAUGUUCUGCCACACUUCGCAAGCAAAAUAACAUGAUUGACCAGAGAAAGACUUUCAUUUUUUUGGUGAAAAUGAGCCUGACCAGACGUCUCUUCUCCAGUUGAAAGUGUCCUCCGAGAUGGAUGGGGUCAUCACUUGUGAUCCCAUUGAAGCAGAGAAGUAACCUGAUUUGGUAGCACAGAUGCCUGACUUAGAAGGUUGCCAAAUGUAUAUGUACUCUUCUCCCUUUUGGCUUGGCUUUAGGCAUUGAAUCUCCGGAGCAAACUCAGGAAUGAUCUCCUAAAUUCUUUUUGUAUUCCACUUCACAUCAGUAUUUAGGAGAAUCCACUACUCGUAGGUCCAACGCUUCUUCUCUUAUGGGUCCAAAGGGUUUAUUAUGUCUGUCUAGAGUAAUCCAAGAAUCUUGCCACACUCGAGUAGUGAGUUUAUUACCAAUAGCCUUCCCUAGAUUUUGUUUUAAUAGGUCGCGACCAUGUUGGAUUCCAUGUCAUCCAUGAGAGCAGCUGGAUGGGGCAGAGGUUUCUAGAAAUGAUUGCUUCUGCAGUGUAGAACCCGAGCUAGUAGGCUCUCUGGUUGUGUAAGGAUCCCCCAUGCUAGCUUGGCCAGUAGAGCUCAGUUUAAUAGUUGAAUGUCCCUGAGUCCCAAACCACCUCAUGCUUUAGGUUUAGUUAAUUUAUUCCAUGCCACUCAGCUCAUCUUUCUUUUGUUGUCAGGUCCAUCCCACCAAAACCUCGUUAGGAGAUAUUGUAUUUUUCAAUUUACAGAGACUAACUGGGAGGAGUAAACAUGACAUUGUAUAGGUAGGGAUUGCUGAGAGGAUUGCUUGAACCAUAGUGAGCUUGCCUGCCUUGGAGAGGAACCGGGUUUACCAGCUAACAACGCAAUUUUAGAUUCUUUCGACUUCUUCCGAAAUGUUCAGAAAGGCCUAAAAAGUGAUUGAGGACUUGGGAGUAUUUAUCUUCAGUCCAGAAGCUUUCUCGUAAUUCAAUAGAAUACUGCAUAAGGCUUCACAACCGGCAGGUGAGGCAGCAUCGAAGAACAUCGUGUCAUCUGCAAAUAGCAUACGAUUGAUGGCGAAGCCACUCUUAUGCCCCGGAGUGAAGUAUCUUUUGCUGCAUUUCUCCAUAGGUCCAAGAUGACUUCUCCACAAAGAAUGAACAAAUAUUAUCCUAUCAAUCUAACAAUUCAUUUUUUAAUCCUUGAAGAAACCUUAAAUCUAACAAUCAGAUUACUCAAACAUGAUCAAUGAAACAAAAAUUAUUA
Long non-coding RNA from Brassica napus (rape), 1950 nucleotides. RefSeq lists it as uncharacterized. The transcript has 4 exons. NCBI's taxonomy places the organism in Eukaryota, Viridiplantae, Streptophyta, Magnoliopsida, Brassicales, Brassicaceae. The record is from RefSeq and is a predicted model, not a curated record.